Molecule: ribosomal RNA, 305 nt
Filed under: uncultured bacterium
Lineage: Bacteria
Description: bacterial SSU rRNA
Rfam family: Bacterial small subunit ribosomal RNA
Source: RNAcentral
UUUGCCUACGGGAGGCAGCAGUAGGGAAUAUUGCUCAAUGGGGGAAACCCUGAAGCAGCAACGCCGCGUGGAGGAUGAAGGUUUUCGGAUUGUAAACUAUUGUCGUGAGGGAAGAAAUUGACAGUACCUCAGGAGGAAGCUCCGGCUAACUAUGUGCCAGCAGCCGCGGUAAUACAUAGGGAGCAAGCGUUAUCCGGAUUUAUUGGGUGUAAAGGGUGCGUAGACGGGAAAUUAAGUUAGUUGUGAAAUCCCUCGGCUUAACUGAGGAACUGCAACUAAAACUGAUUUUCUUGAGUACUGGAGAG